This 204-nucleotide long non-coding RNA is filed under the name Setaria viridis. RNAcentral describes it as "long non-coding RNA (SVIR_LNC006885)". The record is from RNAcentral. Lineage: Eukaryota; Viridiplantae; Streptophyta; Magnoliopsida; Poales; Poaceae.
CCCGGGUUGUUAUUUUGAGUAAUAACAAGGACUUCUCUGUCUGGGUAGUUGCUUCCGGAGCUUGAUGUUGCAAUCUCUGUGGAGCUUUCCUCAUGAUUGGAAGUGAGUGGGACACCCUCUUGAUAUGGGAGGUUGUCUAUAUGGGCGACAAGGCGUGAGUCGUAGUCGCGGUCAAGAAGAGGUGGUGUCAAACCUGGCCAAUGU